RNAcentral lists this ribosomal RNA (465 nucleotides) under uncultured bacterium. RNAcentral's name for it is "partial 16S ribosomal RNA". It matches the Rfam family "Bacterial small subunit ribosomal RNA", at positions 28 to 507 of the family's 1533-position model. The record is from RNAcentral.
GACGAACGCUGGCGGCGUGCUUAACACAUGCAAGUCGUACGGUAAGGCCCUUUCGGGGGUACACGAGUGGCGAACGGGUGAGUAACACGUGAGUAACCUGCCCACAACUUUGGGAUAACGCUAGGAAACUGGUGCUAAUACUGGAUAUGUGCCCCUGCUGCAUGGUGGGGGUUGGAAAGCUCCGGCGGUUGUGGAUGGACUCGCGGCCUAUCAGCUUGUUGGUGGGGUAGUGGCCUACCAAGGCGGCGACGGGUAGCCGGCCGGAGAGGGUGACCGGCCACAUUGGGACUGAGAUACGGCCCAGACUCCUACGGGAGGCAGCAGUGGGGAAUAUUGCACAAUGGGCGCAAGCCUGAUGCAGCAACGCCGCGUGCGGGAUGACGGCCUUCGGGUUGUAAACCGCGUUCAGCAGGGACGAAGCUUUUUGUGACGGUACCUGCAGAAGAAGCACCGGCUAACUACGUG